UACGGAGGGUGCAAGCGUUAUCCGGAUUCACUGGGUUUAAAGGGUGCGUAGGCGGGUAUGUAAGUCAGCGGUGAAAUCUCCCGGCUCAACUGGGAGGGUGCGCCGAAAACUGGAAUGCUUGAACAUGGGAGAGGAAAGCGGAAUUCCUGGUGUAGCGGUGAAAUGCGUAGAUAUCAGGAGGAACACCUGCGGUGUAGACGGCUUUCUGGACCAUUGUUGACGCUGAGACACGAAAGCGUGGGUAGCAAACAGG
RNAcentral lists this ribosomal RNA (253 nucleotides) under uncultured bacterium. Its description in RNAcentral is "partial 16S ribosomal RNA". It matches the Rfam family "Bacterial small subunit ribosomal RNA", at positions 524 to 776 of the family's 1533-position model. The record is from RNAcentral.